This is a long non-coding RNA of Choloepus didactylus (southern two-toed sloth), 422 nucleotides long. RefSeq lists it as uncharacterized. The transcript has 3 exons. Lineage: Eukaryota; Metazoa; Chordata; Mammalia; Pilosa; Megalonychidae. The record is from RefSeq and is a predicted model, not a curated record.
CAGGAGAGGCCGCCAUGUGCAUGGCCAUGUGACAGAGGAACCCAGGACCAAGGAUCACCAGCAGUCAGCCCCAGAACAGCACAGUCUUCUGGGAGGAAGCAUCGCAUUGCUGACGCCUCGAUUUUGGACGUCUCCUAGCCUCGAAACCGUGAGCUGCCAUCCAUCCAUUGCUGAUCAUUGAAGGGAGACCAAGAAGUCUGGGUGUUCUGCUGGUCCGUCUGCUCAGUGUCUGCGUCACCUGGCCUGGCUAUGACCUCAAGGAAGGGAGGUGCCUCCAGAGUGCAAGAGGCAGCAGCCACCUGUCUUCCAGCUGUCUGGGACUGUCUACUGGAGCAAGUGACAUCACAGUGACCAGAAAACACCUCCCCUUUGUCUGGAGCAGUUAUGAUGUCAUUUCCUCUGGCAGGAAGCAGGAUGUUGGC